CCUACGGGAGGCAGCAGUGGGGGAUAUUGCACAAUGGGGGGAACCCUGAUGCAGCGACGCCGCGUGGGUGAAGGAGCGUUUCGGCGCGUAAAGCCCUAUCGGCAGGGAAGAAGGAGGACGGUACCUGACUAAGAAGCCCCGGCUAACCACGCGCCAGCAGCCGCGGUAAUACGUAGGGGGACAGCGUUAUCCGGAUUUACUGGGGGUAAGGGGGGCGCGGACGGCAGGGCAAGCCAGGUGUGAAAGCCCGGGGCCCAACGCCGGGACUGAUCUUGGAACUGCGCGGCUGGAGUGCAGGAGGGGCAGGCGGAAGUCCUGGUGUAGCGGUGAAAUGCGUAGAUAUCAGGAGGAACACCGGUGGCGAAGGCGGCCUGCUGGACUGCGACUGACGUUGAGGCCCGAAAGCGUGGGGAGCAAACAGGAUUAGAUACCCCAGUAGUC
This 441-nucleotide ribosomal RNA is filed under the name uncultured bacterium. RNAcentral's name for it is "partial 16S ribosomal RNA". It matches the Rfam family "Bacterial small subunit ribosomal RNA", at positions 338 to 795 of the family's 1533-position model. The record is from RNAcentral.